UGCCCGUGUCUUCUUUUCUGGUUCGCAUGCACAUUUAUAUGUAUCUGUCUUUUUUCUCUACUUCAACCAUCUCUCUGUAGACACAAAGUACUAUACUCCAUUAUUCAUGGCUGCCUUAAGCUUCAUAAUUGGUAUCAUUGGUCAGUUCCUCUCUCCUCUCAUUAUUUCUCCAUAUUUGAGCUUCAUGGGUUUUUUAUAAUUCAUUUUGUGUUUGUUAGAUUUCUCUCAAUUUCAUGUUAUGUGUCGUCUACAGGUAAUAUCAUUUCUAUUCUGGUUUUUGCUUCUCCCAUGUAAGUACCGGCCAUGAAAAAUUAUUGAUUUUUCCUGUUUUCGUAUAUCGGUUUUAUAGAUUUAGAUCCUUUAUCUGGCUCAGAUUAACUUCGGCAUGUGCAAUUUGGAUCGGUUUGAUAAUACUUCUGCCAUAUGAUUGGCUAGAAAGUAGUUUUCUUUUCUGAUAAAGGUACCAUGUUAAAAGCAAUACUGAAAACCUAUGCAUACUCGGUGGGAGCACCGUCUCCCCUUUUCUCUAUAUCUUAGUAGUCACUUCUCUGGUUCUAAGGCCAUCCCUUGCUUUAGGAAUAGGGGACAGCUCUCCUCUCCUCCCCUAGUUUGGUUGCGUAUAGUUUUGUCGUAUUGUGAUUUAUUAUGAUUAUGUAAAGAAAAUAAGCUGGACAUUAACUACCUCAAACGGAGAAGAAGGUUUAUUUGAGUUUGUAUACAGUAGAAAUAUUUUAUUUCAAAUUAGUAUAUAACAACAUAUACCCUCAUAUUUAGAUAUGAACUUCUGAACGUAAUGUCUAAAUCUUAUAUAUAACACAAACAUUAUCCCAAAUCAACAUAAGACAAUCAAACCAAAUCUAGUACAUUCUUUGCGAGGGAUGUUGCGAAAAUCUGUUAUGGUUGAUGUUUCAAUAGUUUUCUACAUUGGUUAAUAAUCUUGCUAGCUAGUAUUAUGUGAGACACUGUUAGUAGUGAUGGAUCCAAAAUUUUUUUUUUCAUAUACAUAUAAAAAAAUACAUAUAUUAAAAAUAAGAUUUUCAAUUUAACUUUUUAAAUAAGCAAAAUUCAAGACACAUAAAUAACCAACUAAAUUUUAAUUUUUAUUAGGAAGAGGAUUAAAUAAUUAAAUUUACGAGGAAUCA
Molecule: unclassified non-coding RNA, 1142 nt
Filed under: Hevea brasiliensis (rubber tree)
Lineage: Eukaryota; Viridiplantae; Streptophyta; Magnoliopsida; Malpighiales; Euphorbiaceae
Source: RNAcentral